UUUGUUUAGUGAGAAUAGAUCAGUCCAUAAAAAAAAAAUGUAUUUACAUGCUAUUAUUAUGUAUAAUGCAAUUACAGACACAGAAGUAUAUUUGAUGAGACUACUAAGAACAUUAUCACUUCCAACUGCACUGGAUACAAUUUCCAUAAACUAAUCAUACUGUUUUCUUUCUUCUUGUAUGGACCGCAAAAUCCGGGCUGCUGAUUCAGCUGCCGAUCUAGGAUUGUGAGGCACAACCCUUACCACACUUGUCCGUGGCUCAAUAGUUUGAGCAUUUUGAUCUGAAGCCUGAGCUGUUGGUUCUGUAGGAAAAAGAGGAAGUGCAUCUCCUUUAGGCCUCUCUGAGGGACCACUUGCUGUGCUUCCCUGUAACUCACUUUCCUUUGAUGCUCGAAAUUUCCCAAUAUGUGAGAUCACACGACUCAUCUGGCUUGACAUGUUACAUGAGCUCUGGUGGGGAAAAUUGAAGUUAAUGUCUCCAACUGAUGGCUGAUUAUCCUUUGAUUGGGGUCCAGUGAAUGGGCUUACCUGCUCAACUGCUGAUCCUGAAAUGGAUGGAGUCAUGACUGGCAUGCCAUAAGGUGGAAAGUAUGACUGUCCCAAAUGAGGGGUGCUGGCAAGAAUUCCAAUGCCUUGUUGGUGAGAAGCUGGAACACCAUAAGCUGCAUUCAAGAAGUCUCCGUUCCCUGCUGUUAAACUCAUAGGACCACAGUUGCCGUAAACAGGGCCCCUAAAUCCAGCAGUUGGAGGGCAUGGUCCUGUGUAGGGCUUGUAUACAAGACCCUCAGAAGGGGACAUGACUGGAACUAACCACUGAUUUCCAGGUGGUAGGAAACACCAUGGAGAUGGUCUG
This 853-nucleotide unclassified non-coding RNA is filed under the name Hevea brasiliensis (rubber tree). Lineage: Eukaryota; Viridiplantae; Streptophyta; Magnoliopsida; Malpighiales; Euphorbiaceae. The record is from RNAcentral.